RNAcentral lists this ribosomal RNA (468 nucleotides) under uncultured bacterium. RNAcentral's name for it is "partial 16S ribosomal RNA". It matches the Rfam family "Bacterial small subunit ribosomal RNA", at positions 28 to 507 of the family's 1533-position model. The record is from RNAcentral.
GACGAACGCUGGCGGCGUGCUUAACACAUGCAAGUCGAACGGAAAGGCCCUGCUUUUGUGGGGUGCUCGAGUGGCGAACGGGUGAGUAACACGUGAGUAAACUGCCCUUGACUUUGGGAUAACUUCAGGAAACUGGGGCUAAUACCGGAUAGGAGCUCCUGCUGCAUGGUGGGGGUUGGAAAGUUUCGGCGGUUGGGGCUGGACUCGCGGCUUCUCAGCUUGUUGGUGGGGUAGUGGCUUACCAAGGCUUUGACGGGUAGCCGGCCUGAGAGGGGGACCGGCCACAUGGGGCCUGCGAGACGGACCAGACGCCUACGGGCGGCAGCAGUGGGGAAUAUUGCACAGUGGGCGGAAGCGUGAUGCAGCAACGCCGGGUGCGGGAUGACGGCUUACGGGUUAUAAACAGCUUUCGACUGUGACGAAGCGUGAGUGACGGUAAUGGGUAAAGAAGCACCGGCUAACUACGUG